This 835-nucleotide ribosomal RNA is filed under the name Haptophyta environmental samples. RNAcentral's name for it is "bacterial SSU rRNA". It matches the Rfam family "Bacterial small subunit ribosomal RNA", at positions 481 to 1325 of the family's 1533-position model. Lineage: Eukaryota; Haptophyta. The record is from RNAcentral.
GAGGAAUAAGCAUCGGCUAACUCCGUGCCAGCAGCCGCGGUAAUACGGGGGAUGCAAGCGUUAUCCGGAAUCAUUGGGCGUAAAGCGCCUGUAGGUUGUUUAAUAAGUCUGUUGUUAAAGACUAGGGCUCAACCCUAGAAAAGCAAUGGAAACUAAUAGACUAGAGUAUGGCAGGGGUAGAGGGAAUUUCUAGUGUAGCGGUGAAAUGCGUAGAUAUUAGAAAGAACACCAGUGGCGAAAGCGCUCUACUGGACCAUUACUGACACUCAGAGGCGAAAGCUAGGGUAGCAAAAGGGAUUAGAUACCCCUGUAGUCCUAGCCGUAAACGAUGGAUACUAGAUGUUGUGUUAUAUCACAGUAUCGCAGCUAACGCGUUAAGUAUCCCGCCUGGGGAGUACGCUCGCAAGGGUGAAACUCAAAGGAAUUGACGGGGGCCCGCACAAGCGGUGGAGCAUGUGGUUUAAUUCGAUGCAACGCGAAGAACCUUACCAGGGCUUGACAUACUACAGAUCUUUUUGAGAAAGAAGAGUGCCUUCGGGAAUGUAGAUACAGGUGGUGCAUGGCUGUCGUCAGCUCGUGUCGUGAGAUGUUGGGUUAAGUCCCGCAACGAGCGCAACCCUUAUUUUUAGUUACCAACUUGUUGGGUUCUCUAGAAAGACUGCCGGUGACAAACCGGAGGAAGGUGAGGAUGACGUCAAGUCAGCAUGCCCCUUAUGUCCUGGGCUACACACGUGCUACAAUGGCUAAGACAAAGAGUUGCGAAUUCGUGAGAAUCAGCUAAUCUCGUAAACUUAGCCUAAGUUCAGAUUGUAGGCUGCAACUCGCCUGCGUGAAG